CCUACGGGCGGCAGCAGUCGAGAAUCAUUCACAAUGGGGGAAACCCUGAUGGUGCGACGCCGCGUGGGGGAAUGAAGGUCUUCGGAUUGUAAACCCCUGUCAUGUGGGAGCAAAUUAAAAAGAUCGUACCACACGAGGAAGAGACGGCUAACUCUGUGCCAGCAGCCGCGGUAAUACAGAGGUCUCAAGCGUUGUUCGGAAUCACUGGGCGUAAAGCGUGCGUAGGCUGUUUCGUAAGUCGUGUGUGAAAGGCGCGGGCUCAACCCGCGGACGGCACAUGAUACUGCGAGACUAGAGUAAUGGAGGGGGAACCGGAAUUCUCGGUGUAGCAGUGAAAUGCGUAGAUAUCGAGAGGAACACUCGUGGCGAAGGCGGGUUCCUGGACAUUAACUGACGCUGAGGCACGAAGGCCAGGGGAGCGAAAGGGAUUAGAUACCCCAGUAGUC
This 446-nucleotide ribosomal RNA is filed under the name uncultured bacterium. RNAcentral's name for it is "partial 16S ribosomal RNA". It matches the Rfam family "Bacterial small subunit ribosomal RNA", at positions 338 to 795 of the family's 1533-position model. The record is from RNAcentral.